Molecule: non-coding RNA, 110 nt
Filed under: Candidatus Neoanaerotignum tabaqchaliae
Lineage: Bacteria; Bacillati; Bacillota; Clostridia
Description: FMN riboswitch (RFN element)
Rfam family: FMN riboswitch aptamer (RFN element)
About the family: The RFN element is a highly conserved domain that is found frequently in the 5'-untranslated regions of prokaryotic mRNAs that encode for flavin mononucleotide (FMN) biosynthesis and transport proteins. This element is a metabolite-dependent riboswitch that directly binds FMN in the absence of proteins.
Source: RNAcentral
AUCUUCGGGGCAGGGUGAAAGUCCCUACCGGCGGUAUAGCCCGCGAGCUUUUUAAGCAUGAUUCGGUGAAAUUCCGAGGCCGACAGUUAAAGUCUGGAUGGUAGAAGAUA